AGGAAUAGCAAUCAACUCUGACUUCCAGGCUCUUUGUCUCUCUGGCUUCCUCCCUGUGUGGUUUUGGCAAGGAUAAUAAACUCAGUACUAAGGCAGCAACUGGAAUGAAGGUCAGAGAACACCGUCUGGGUUUAAGAAGGCCUUAGUGAAGUAUUCUUCCUCCGUGGCCUCCCCCCCCCCCAGCCUCCUUUUGUGUCUGAGAAGCCUGCCCACCCCUUACCAAACUUCCCCAAAUAGUGUGUUUUGAUGGCUACAUGUCCAGCAUCUUGUAUAAAUAGGCAAAACUACCCCCAUUGGAUUUUUAAAAAAAUUAUUAUGCUGAGGGCGAAGGGCUUCUCUACAAAGAACACUGAUUGAGGACAUUUCUCAUCAUAAUUUCCUUGAUUGCUGCAUCCUGGAAGGAUCCCUCGGAGACUCACACAGGCACAGAAGAGCUGACGUUUACAAAUACAUAGUCAGGAAAGAGGGCAGAAGAUUCUAGGGAUGCUGGGAAAGACCUCCUGCCCAUUCAUCACACAAGGGAUUAUGUUUCUCCCUGCCUUACCACAGCAUCUUCCUGCCUUGGCCUGCCCACAGGCACAGAUACUGAGCUGGCUACAGAACCUGGACUCUGUGACGCCUUGAUGCUAUGAUGAUGGAGAUGUGCUUUUCUGACCUUCCACCAAAAUUAUCCUGUAUCAGAUCCCCUUGGCUUAGCACAGUGUUUGGCAUACAGCAGGCAUUUAAUAAAUGUGUUUUUACUUUUUUUAUUAAUUGGCAAAGAUCUAUAACAUAAUUUACUUAUAUUGAAAAUAAAAGUUUGACAGCUAA
Monodelphis domestica (gray short-tailed opossum) is the source of this 810-nucleotide long non-coding RNA. RefSeq lists it as uncharacterized. The record is from RefSeq and is a predicted model, not a curated record. Lineage: Eukaryota; Metazoa; Chordata; Mammalia; Didelphimorphia; Didelphidae.